CAAAAACAAUAAUGUCUGCUUUACUCAUUCUGGGAACACUGGCUCUACUUACUCAAGUGUCUCAUCAGGAGGACCAGUCUCCUAAGUCUCUGUCUGUUAAAGCAGGUGGAUCAGCUUCUAUUAACUGCAUUACAUCUUCUGGAAUUGAUUAUAACUUGAGCUGGUAUCAGCUGAAAGCUGGAAAAGCUCCUAAACUCUUGAUCUACAGAUCGAGUAACCUUGCAUAUGGAGUUCCAAGUCGGUUCAGUGGAACUAAUUCUGGAUACACAUUUACACUGAACAUAAAAGGAGUUCAGCCUGAGGAUGACGGAGAGUAUUACUGUAUGGGGGCUUAUGUUGGUGCGUUCACUUCAGUAUUCACACAGUGA
Molecule: non-coding RNA, 368 nt
Organism: Triplophysa dalaica
Lineage: Eukaryota; Metazoa; Chordata; Actinopteri; Cypriniformes; Nemacheilidae
Source: the annotation of a RefSeq genome assembly